RNAcentral lists this long non-coding RNA (220 nucleotides) under Gossypium barbadense (sea-island cotton). Its description in RNAcentral is "long non-coding RNA (GBAR_LNC012196)". Lineage: Eukaryota; Viridiplantae; Streptophyta; Magnoliopsida; Malvales; Malvaceae. The record is from RNAcentral.
UUAACCAAAAUUUGAAGCUUACCGCGCGGAAUCAACAAAGUACUACCCCAAAGCUUAAUUGUAGACAUUGGAAACGUUACUUAACUACUUUUUGGGCAAAUGAUUCUCUUCAUUUUUAAUGUUGAACCACCCCAUGCCUGCAAUUGAUACAAAAUCAACUUGAAACAUUUUUAUUUCUUGUGUUUCUAAUAUUUUUUGAAAUAAUCCCACUAUCACAAAC